AGACCCGAAACCCGGUGAUCUAGCCAUGGGCAGGUUGAAGGUUGGGUAACACUAACUGGAGGACCGAACCGACUAAUGUUGAAAAAUUAGCGGAUGACCUGUGGCUGGGGGUGAAAGGCCAAUCAAACCGGGAGAUAGCUGGUUCUCCCCGAAAGCUAUUUAGGUAGCGCCUCGUGAAUUCAUCUCCGGGGGUAGAGCACUGUUUCGGCUAGGGGGCCAUCCCGGCUUACCAACCCGAUGCAAACUGCGAAUACCGGAGAAUGUUAUCACGGGAGACACACGGCGGGUGCUAACGUCCGUCGUGAAGAGGGAAACAACCCAGACCGCCAGCUAAGGUCCCAAAGUCAUGGUUAAGUGGGAAACGAUGUGGGAAGGCCCAGACAGCCAGGAUGUUGGCUUAGAAGCAGCCAUCAUUUAAAGAAAGCGUAAUAGCUCACUGGUCGAGUCGGCCUGCGCGGAAGAUGUAACGGGGCUAAACCAUGCACCGAAGCUGCGGCAGCGAACGUAUCACCCAAGACAACUUUACGGAGUUGACGAUUGACGGAGCGAAGCGACGUCAAAGCGUUCAUUAAAGUCGAGUUGGCUUAGGGAUACGUUCGUUGGGUAGGGGAGCGUUCUGUAAGCCUGUGAAGGUGGCCUGUGAGGGUUGCUGGAGGUAUCAGAAGUGCGAAUGCUGACAUAAGUAACGAUAAAGCGGGU
Molecule: ribosomal RNA, 699 nt
Filed under: Salmonella enterica subsp. enterica serovar Paratyphi C
Lineage: Bacteria; Pseudomonadati; Pseudomonadota; Gammaproteobacteria; Enterobacterales; Enterobacteriaceae
Description: partial 23S ribosomal RNA
Rfam family: Bacterial large subunit ribosomal RNA
Source: RNAcentral